GAUGAAGAACGCAGCGAAAUGCGAUAAGUAACGUGAAUUGCAGAAUUCAGUGAAUCAUCGAAUCUUUGAACGCACAUUGCGCCCGCCAGUAUUCUGGCGGGCAUGCCUGUUCGAGCGUCAUUACAACCCUCAGGCCCCCGGGCCUGGCGUUGGGGAUCGGCGGAGCCCCCCGUGGGCACACGCCGUCCCCCAAAUGCAGUGGCGGUCCCGCCGCAGCUUCCAUCGCGUAGUAGCUAACACCUCGCGACUGGAGAGCGGCGCGGCCACGCCGUAAAACACCCAACUCUUCUGAAGUUGACCUCGAAUCAGGUAGGAAUACCCGCUGAACUUAAGCAUAUCAAUAAGCGGAGGA
This 352-nucleotide unclassified non-coding RNA is filed under the name soil metagenome. RNAcentral describes it as "partial contains 5.8S ribosomal RNA, internal transcribed spacer 2, and large subunit ribosomal RNA". The stretch from base 1 to 120 matches the Rfam family "5.8S ribosomal RNA", at positions 35 to 154 of the family's 154-position model. The record is from RNAcentral.